Molecule: unclassified non-coding RNA, 722 nt
Filed under: Hevea brasiliensis (rubber tree)
Lineage: Eukaryota; Viridiplantae; Streptophyta; Magnoliopsida; Malpighiales; Euphorbiaceae
Source: RNAcentral
GAAAGAUCUAGAGAGAUAGAAAAUCGUGCCCAAACACAAUACAUUCAUGAAAAUUACAUGACAGUAAUAGUUUAGUAGAACAUGAAACCUUGACAGAACAAGUAGAAUGUAAACAUUUGCCGACGCUCGGACCCUACUGAAGCAUCCUAUGGAGGCUAAUGACUGUCGAGAGAACCAGAGAGACAUAGAAAAUUGUGCCCAAAAACGAGAUAGCAAUCGCUGCGAUUAUGUGCGAGCAGAACUUACCAUACACAUUGCACACCUUGUUCCAUCCGACUUUGGUUAUCCCUUGCUCCCCCACAACUCCGAUGGCCCCUGCUGCCCCGAGGGAUGAAAAGAGGAGGGACAGCACGACGAUGUCCAUUACGGUGAUCAGUAAUGCCAGGCCCUGUCUGCGUCCCUUGUUUGCAGAUGAGAUUACUAGCGAGAGGACGGAGUAGCCACAUACAAUGCCAUUGGUGACAAUGAAGAAUACGUAGGCCGACGAGUAACUGACCUUGGCCGUCACCGGAAUCGGCAACGGCGGCAAGGUGGGAGCGAUGACGACGCUGACAAUCUCCGUCUGCUUUGCCACUGCCAUCACAAUCGCUGCAACCAUCGUCGCAAGAAAGGCAGCAACACGGAGCAGGGAGUGAGUGAACUGCGGAGCCGGAGCAGAAAUGGCUCGGCUACCGGAAGUUCCAUCCAUACCAGCCUUCAUCCCAGACUCCAUUGAAACAAAG